RNAcentral lists this ribosomal RNA (413 nucleotides) under uncultured archaeon. RNAcentral's name for it is "bacterial SSU rRNA". It matches the Rfam family "Archaeal small subunit ribosomal RNA", at positions 325 to 740 of the family's 1478-position model. The record is from RNAcentral.
ACGGGGCGCAGCAGGCGCGAAAACUUCACAAUGUGGGAAACCGCGAUGAGGGGAUUCCAAGUGCUUGCGUUUUGCGUAAGCUGUUCUUCUGCCUAAAAAGCAGGGGAAGUAAGGGCUGGGUAAGACGGGUGCCAGCCGCCGCGGUAAUACCCGCAGCCCGAGUGGUGGUCGAUAUUAUUGAGCUUAAAGCGUCCGUAGCCUGUCUGGUAAAUUCUUGGGUAAAUCGUGCAGCUUAACUGUUCGAAUUCCGGGGAGACUGCCAGACUUGGGACCGGGAGAGGUUGGAGGUACUCCUGGGGUAGGGGUAAAAUCCCGUAAUCCUGGGAGGACCACCAGUGGCGAAGGCGUCCAACUGGAACGGAUCCGACGGUCAGGGACGAAGCCCUGGGUCGCGAACUGGAUUAGAUACCCAG